AUUGAACGCUGGCGGCAUGCCUAACACAUGCAAGUCGAGCGGACGAAGGGGGCUUUCUCUUGGCUGCAGUUGCCGACGGGCGGGUAAUUCACACGAAUCUGCCCUACCUAUAGGGAUGACGUCCGUUCACGAGCCCUGAUCUCACAUCCGUCCUUAUGUUGAACCUCAUGGAUCUUCGGAGCACGACGGUCUUGCUGUGCCUAGUAGAUGUAUUCGAGCUGCAUUAGCUAGUUGGUACGGUAACGGCCUACCAAGGCAACGAUGCGUAGCCGACCUGAGAGGAUGAUCAGCCACACUGGAACUGAGACACGGUCCAGACUCCUACGGGAGGCAGCAGUAGGGAAUCUUGCGCAAUGGGCGAAAGCCUGACGGAGCAACGCCGCGUGAGUGAUGAAGGUCUUCGGAUCGUAAAACUCUGUUAGUAGGGAAGAAGAUAUGUGUAUGUAACCGUGCAUAUCUUGACGGUACCAAAUGAGAAAGCCACGGCUAACUACGUG
This 497-nucleotide ribosomal RNA is filed under the name uncultured bacterium. Its description in RNAcentral is "partial 16S ribosomal RNA". It matches the Rfam family "Bacterial small subunit ribosomal RNA", at positions 30 to 507 of the family's 1533-position model. The record is from RNAcentral.